Molecule: ribosomal RNA, 767 nt
Filed under: uncultured bacterium
Lineage: Bacteria
Description: bacterial SSU rRNA
Rfam family: Bacterial small subunit ribosomal RNA
Source: RNAcentral
GUCUCUUCGGAGAUACACGAGUGGCGCACGGGUGCGUAACGCGUAUGCAACCUACCUUUAACUGGGAAAUAGCCCCGAGAAAUCGGGAUUAAUGUCCCAUAUUAUUCUUUGAAUACCUAUUCGAGGAAUGAAAGCUCCGGCGGUUAUUGAUGGGCAUGCGUGACAUUAGCUAGUUGGUGAGGUAACGGCUCACCAAGGCUACGAUGUCUAGGGGUCCUGAGAGGGUUAACCCCCACACUGGUACUGAGACACGGACCAGACUCCUACGGGAGGCAGCAGUAAGGAAUAUUGGGCAAUGGGCGCAAGCCUGACCCAGCAACGCCGCGUGGAGGAAGACGGCCUUCGGGUUGUAAACUCCUUUUACGGGGGAAGAGGAAGGACGGUACCCCGAGAAUAAGUCACGGCUAACUACGUGCCAGCAGCCGCGGUAAUACGUAGGUGACAAGCGUUAUCCGGAAUUACUGGGCGUAAAGCGCACGCAGGCGGCGUGGUAAGUCUGAUGUGAAAUCUCCCGGCUUAACUGGGAGGGGUCAUUGGAAACUGCCGUGCUCGAGGCGGUGAGAGGGGUAUAGAAUUCCCGGUGUAGUGGUGGAAUGCGUAGAUAUCGGGAGGAAUACCAGUGGCGAAAGCGGCACCCUGGCACUAGCCUGACGCUCAUGUGCGAAGGCGUGGGGAGCGAACGGGAUUAGAUACCCCGGUAGUCCACGCGGUAAACGAUGAAUACUAGGUGUGGGUGGAGUGAAAUCCAUCUGUGCCGAAGCAAACGC